GACGAACGCUGGCGGCGUGGAUUAGGCAUGCAAGUCGGACGGUAGGGCUUUAUCGUAAGAUAGAGUUUGAGAGUGGCGAACGGGUGAGUAACACGUAGGAAUCUACCCUUAAGACGGGGACAACCCAGGGAAACUUGGGCUAAUACCGGAUGAGAGUGCGAGAGAUUGCAUUUAAAAGGAUGGCGAAAGUUGUCGCUUAGGGAUGAGCCUGCGGUCUAUUAGUUAGUUGGUGAGGUAACGGCCCACCAAGGCGACGAUUGGUAGCCGAACUGAGAGGUUGAUCGGCCGCAUUGGGACUGAGACACGGCCCAGACUCCUACGGGAGGCAGCAGUGGGGAAUAUUGCGCAAUGGGGGAAACCCUGACGCAGCAACGCCGCGUGAAGGAAGAAGGCCUUCGGGUUGUAAACUUCUUUGAUCGGGACGAAGAUGACGGUACCCGAGGAACAAGCCACGGCAACUACGUG
This 465-nucleotide ribosomal RNA is filed under the name uncultured bacterium. RNAcentral describes it as "bacterial SSU rRNA". It matches the Rfam family "Bacterial small subunit ribosomal RNA", at positions 28 to 507 of the family's 1533-position model. The record is from RNAcentral.